Molecule: long non-coding RNA, 1053 nt
Organism: Helianthus annuus (common sunflower)
Lineage: Eukaryota; Viridiplantae; Streptophyta; Magnoliopsida; Asterales; Asteraceae
Exons: 4
Source: RefSeq, a predicted model, not a curated record
UCUCAAAACCUAAAUGUCCCAUUCUUCUCCUUCACGCCGCUUUGUGAUACUCAUAGCUCAAUCUCUGCAUCUUCUUUGAAUUCAUCCUCAUUGCUAGAUCUUCUUCUUCAAUCCCCUGUCGCAUAAACCCUUCUCCCAAUGAUUCCUACAGAUCCAUACACCGACCAAGCAUAAAUUCUAUUAAUCUUCAAAUAGAAUCGGCGGCGUUAGGGUUUUGUUGAAGAAAAUACAAAUUGUAUUUAUUUUGUUGAUUCAAGCAUAAAUACGGAUUCCUCAGGAGCUGGUUGGAUUACUCCCGUUGUAAUAUCAGGAAACCAUUUUUGGGAAAUUGGAAGGCCCGUUGAAGAGUCGGAAUCUAUAAUUACAAGGUUCGGGUCGCAUUUGAGGUAUGGGAGUGGAGCUGGAUAAGAACAAUUGUAUAUGAGGGGAAUUAGCCCGAAUUUGAUGCACUUGUGUCAGUAUUGGCACAAAACAGUUACGUAUAACAAAGAUGUGUGGCAGUGGAAGGAUGACCGGAUUGAAAUAAAUAAAACAUAACUCUAUUAUGUUUUGCAGUUUCUUUUAAAUUACGAUAAGCUGGAACUUGUGUAAUUUUGCAGGAUAUAUUUAAAGAGUUCUACUUGAGCAAAUACAGCGGUAGGCGAUUAAUGUGGCAGAAUUCAUUAGGUCACUGCAUCUUGAAAGCAGAAUUUGCAAAGGGAAAGAAAGAACUGGAUGUUUCCUUAUUUCAGGUGUUUUGCAUCUGCCAUCAUCUUGCGUUGUUUUCUAUUUUCCUCCGACUCCAACAUUUUUGCCGACUAAUGGUUUGAAAUUGGAGCAAACAUCAAAACUGUUGUUCUGUUAGUUCAUUGGAUGUCUGGAUCAACUGGUAGGAAGGGUUUAAGAUUUUUAUUUUUUGUUUUGUUUUUGUGAUUUUGUUUAUUGUUAUAAUAUUCUUUUUUUUUAAUUGUUGUGUUCGUUUAAAAUUGUCUGGAUCAACUGGUGAGAAGGGUUUAACAUUUUUAUAUUUUGUUUUUGUGAUUUUAUUUAUUGUUAUUAUAUUCCUUUUUUUAA